UAACGAGCUCUCCCCCCCAGGUUGCCCCCCGGGUUUCCACGGGGCCGGCUGCCAGCAGCGCUGCGACUGCGAGCACGGCGCUGCCUGCGACCCCGCCACCGGCCGCUGCCGCUGCCCCGCGGGUGUGCGCGGCCAGCGCUGCCAGGCAGGCUGCGAGGAAGGGACGCACGGGGAGGGAUGCCGGCAGCUCUGCGACUGCGUAGGGAACGCGACCUGCGACCCGGCCACGGGGCGCUGCCUCUGUCCCCCGGGGAAAACUGGCCCCAAGUGCGGCUCAGAGUGCCCGGCGAACAAGUACGGCCCCGACUGCGCCCUCGGCUGCGCCUGUGCCCCCCACAGCUCCCAGUGCAGCGCCAGGAACGGGCAGUGCCGCUGCCUCCACGGGUACAUGGGCCCGACCUGCCGGCAAGCUGUGCCAGCCCAGGUGCCCACCAGGCCCCCGCUGCCCCCAGGGGAGCUGCAGUGGAUGGAGCACUAGGUCUGGCCGCCGCCAGCAGCGCCCUCGGUGCAGGACCCCCUGGAGAAGCACAGGACCUAUUGCUGAACUUGUUUACAAGCCACACACAUUAAUUAGUUCCACCGUGCCAGACGACGCUGCUGCUCUGAGCGAGGCUGGAGUGCUGAGCACCACCAGGGCACCCGGGAGCUGCUGGGGCUGGACGCAGGACCCUGAGAGCCGGUGCCCCUCGUGCCGGACACCAGCAGUGUUUGCUUCUGCUCGGUGGCUGGGAAAUUGCUGGCCUUCACCUUUUGGGUUUGGGUGCUGGGUUUGGGGGGGGGGGGGGGGGGGGGGGGUUUGGGGGGGGUGGGGGUGGUGGGGUGGGGGGGGGGGGGGAGGGAAGGAGGUUUGGGAGGGGCUGACAUUAUAGCCAAAAAUAGGUAUUUAUGCAAGAAUAUUUAUGGGCAGCUGCACAGCAGCGUUGUCAAAGCUGGCGGGUGACCAUUCCCAGCUCUGUGGCGCUCAUGCCCAGUGUGGCACCACGGCACUUGGCUGUCCCUGACCCUGCAGCCACCCCGUACUGUAAGCUCCCGUUUGCCGUGGGAGAAGGUGCUGGGCUCUGCAGCCAAGAGCCAGUCCCAAACCAGGGCUUUGCCAGCCCACCUGAGCAUCCCACAUCGCCUGCUGCAGGGAAAAGCAAGCCUGAACCCGGUGCAGUCAGCGUGCUGCAUGGCACGGCACGGAGCGCCUGUGUGGGCUGGUGAAUGCACAGCCCUCGUUAGGUGUCCUCCUCUGUCCUGGCCCCUGCGACAUUCCCCUGUUGUGGUGGAAGCCCAGAGGCUGAGAAGGGGCCGGAGGAGCUGCCAGGAGCCGCACAGCCACAGUCAGCGAGCACGAGAGCGCUGCAAGGCUGCCACCUGCACAGCGGGGACAGUCACUGCCAGGGGAUCAGCCCCGUGACGGGGACCAGCAGCUGCCUCACCUGGCCCUGUCCAUGGAUUUGCACAAAGCCCCUGGGCAGACACGGCCCAGGACCCGGUGCUGUCGGGGGCACCGGUCUGCGAGCAGCAGUGGGACGCCCCCAGCCCUGCCUUUAAAUUAUUCCCCCAGGGGCCAACUGAAAAUAAUGAA
RNAcentral lists this long non-coding RNA (1570 nucleotides) under Anas platyrhynchos platyrhynchos (common mallard). RNAcentral describes it as "lncRNA (ENSAPLG00000028086.1)". The record is from RNAcentral. Lineage: Eukaryota; Metazoa; Chordata; Aves; Anseriformes; Anatidae.